GUUGGUUGAAAAUUACCCACAGCGUUGGUCAUGGCCAUAGGUGAGAUUUAGCGCCCAGAACCACCGGGAGCCUCAGCUCACUGCCCACUCAUAGGUGUAAGGAGGUGAAACCCAGGCCCCGACAUGC
Suricata suricatta (meerkat) is the source of this 127-nucleotide small nucleolar RNA. The record is from Ensembl. Lineage: Eukaryota; Metazoa; Chordata; Mammalia; Carnivora; Herpestidae.